RNAcentral lists this non-coding RNA (87 nucleotides) under unidentified. RNAcentral describes it as "Gallionellales bacterium c-di-GMP sequence". It matches the Rfam family "c-di-GMP-I riboswitch aptamer". Rfam says of the family: GEMM was predicted in a large-scale screen for bacterial structured RNA regulatory elements. Genes associated with GEMM are involved in a diverse array of functions, including chemotaxis regulation, signal transduction, secretion and chitin. The record is from RNAcentral.
GUUGUAAAAGGGCAAAUCCGACCGAAAGGCGGGGACGCAAAACUACCGGUCUAACUGGCUAUGCCAUAUGACAGCGGGGUCGCCAAA